This is a non-coding RNA of Camellia sinensis, 1008 nucleotides long. The record is from RefSeq and is a predicted model, not a curated record. NCBI's taxonomy places the organism in Eukaryota, Viridiplantae, Streptophyta, Magnoliopsida, Ericales, Theaceae.
GAGGGUAAAAGUAUUAGCUCUAAUUAAAUGCACCAGAUGCUGGGCAUUUAAAUCGUAGUGUGGGACUUUUGGGUGGUCUGCUUCUUUUACUAACAGAAAAACAUGAAAUUGAUGGGGCGAAGCACACUCUUAUAAACUGCGAUCUAAAGUUUGAUUUUGAUUUCUCAAAGAGGGUCUUCGAGAGUGACUAUUGUGGACUCUCAAGGUCUGAAAUUGGUGUAAUAAAGGGUUUGGUUUUGGAGUUAUGCAGUGAGGUUUAAUUGGUUAGAAGGGGCAAGGAAAGGGUUUUUUAAAUUUAUUCAAAGUAAAACCUGCCUUUCUUUGUUUCAUCUAGCCCUCGUCUUUUAUCAUUAUGCUAUGUAUAUCGUCCUUAAUAUUCUCUUGCACUUGUCAGAGAUAUGGCGAAGUAACCAAGCAAAGACUUGAUCUUGCUGUUCUGGUCUUCUUUCAACAUUUUAGGAAGUCUUAUGUGGGAGUUCAAGCAAUGCAUUCUUCUAAGGUAAACCAAUUUAAAGUUUGACCUUCCAUUUGGAAAGUGGGAGAAGAAGCAAGCAUCACAAGCUCCAUAGUUGGAGACAAAAAAGAACAAUGGGGUUCCUACUUUAGCUUGGUGAUUCAUCUUAGAGCGAUUGCGAUGUCGAAGUUCUCUCUCUCUACCGAUUUCGAAGCUCCACCGCCGCUAGCAUCGUCUACUAAGGUUUCUUCACCAAUUCUCAUUGUCAAGAGAGCAGGGUCUUAUGCUUGGACACAAAAGCUAGAGAGUUCGAGAAGAGUUUGCAUGUACAGUCACAUUAGCAAUUGGUCUUUUUGCAUCUACUGAGCUCCCUCUUCGGCGUGGUAUUCUUCCUCAUACCGAGAGGAUUGAAGGCCAUGGGAAGCAGCAUGGAGAGCGAUUCAGAAUGACGGUGAAGGAUGGAUGGGGCUUUCCUUUAGAUUUUUAUUUCUCUUCUUUUUUCCUUCUUUUUUUAUUUCUUUCUUUUUUCCCUCUAAUUUGAUUGGGGGUUGGGU